AGAGUUUGAUCAUGGCUCAGAUUGAACGCUGGCGGCAGGCCUAACACAUGCAAGUCGAGCGGUAGCACAAGAGAGCUUGCUCUCUGGGUGACGAGCGGCGGACGGGUGAGUAAUGUCUGGGAAACUGCCUGAUGGAGGGGGAUAACUACUGGAAACGGUAGCUAAUACCGCAUAACGUCUUCGGACCAAAGUGGGGGACCUUCGGGCCUCACGCCAUCAGAUGUGCCCAGAUGGGAUUAGCUAGUAGGUGGGGUAAUGGCUCACCUAGGCGACGAUCCCUAGCUGGUCUGAGAGGAUGACCAGCCACACUGGAACUGAGACACGGUCCAGACUCCUACGGGAGGCAGCAGUGGGGAAUAUUGCACAAUGGGCGCAAGCCUGAUGCAGCCAUGCCGCGUGUGUGGAGAAGGCCUUCGGGUUGUAAAGCACUUUCAGCGAGGAGGAAGGGUAGUGUGUUAAUAGCACAUUGCAUUGACGUUACUCGCAGAAGAAGCACCGGCUAACUCCGUGCCAGCAGCCGCGGUAAUACGGAGGGUGCAAGCGUUAAUCGGAAUUACUGGGCGUAAAGCGCACGCAGGCGGUUUGUUAAGUCAGAUGUGAAAUCCCCGCGCUUAACGUGGGAACUGCAUUUGAAACUGGCAAGCUAGAGUCUUGUAGAGGGGGGUAGAAUUCCAGGUGUAGCGGUGAAAUGCGUAGAGAUCUGGAGGAAUACCGGUGGCGAAGGCGGCCCCCUGGACAAAGACUGACGCUCAGGUGCGAAAGCGUGGGGAGCAAACAGGAUUAGAUACCCCGGUAGU
RNAcentral lists this ribosomal RNA (797 nucleotides) under uncultured bacterium. RNAcentral describes it as "bacterial SSU rRNA". It matches the Rfam family "Bacterial small subunit ribosomal RNA", at positions 8 to 794 of the family's 1533-position model. The record is from RNAcentral.